UCUGAAAGAUUUACUGUGGCUAAAUUGAAGACUUGAACUCCUUUUUGCAAAUCCAUAUCCACAUUUUCCUUCUCAGGAACACCUGAUCUACAUAGUGAGGGCAGCCGAUAAAUAUACAAGAUGAGUUCUGGAAAAAUUGAAAGUGCUAUGAAUCAGUGAACACCUUCUCCCUUUCAGCCCUGCAGGAACAGAUGGACUGGAGAAUACAAGGUCCAAAGAGGGCUUAACUAACUGGCUCAAAUGAAAGUACAAGAUGUGUGAAUGAAGGACAGUGUCCCAGGGGAUGCCAUCUACUCAUGGGACCAGAAGGCCCACGUCUCUCAAGAUCAUGAACUCUACUAGCAUCUGACUAUUGCUUAGGGGCAGGUGCAUGCAUCCUGGGUAUUGAUUUUGUGGAAAU
This 400-nucleotide long non-coding RNA is filed under the name Numida meleagris (helmeted guineafowl). RNAcentral describes it as "lncRNA (ENSNMEG00000018835.1)". The record is from RNAcentral. Lineage: Eukaryota; Metazoa; Chordata; Aves; Galliformes; Numididae.